UACGUAGGGUGCAAGCGUUAAUCGGAAUUACUGGGCGUAAAGCGUGCGCAGGCGGUUUUGUAAGUCUGUCGUGAAAUCCCCGGGCUCAACCUGGGAAUGGCGAUGGAGACUGCAAGGCUAGAGUUUGGCAGAGGGGGGGUAGAAUUCCACGUGUAGCAGUGAAAUGACGUAGAUAUGUGGAGGAGCACCGAUGGCGAAGGCAGCCCCCUGGGUCAAAACUGACGCUCAUGCACGAAAGCGUGGGGAGCAAACAGG
RNAcentral lists this ribosomal RNA (255 nucleotides) under uncultured bacterium. RNAcentral's name for it is "partial 16S ribosomal RNA". It matches the Rfam family "Bacterial small subunit ribosomal RNA", at positions 524 to 776 of the family's 1533-position model. The record is from RNAcentral.